GGGUUGUGAGGUUAAGCGACUAAGCGUACACGGUGGAUGCCCUGGCAGUCAGAGGCGAUGAAGGACGUGCUAAUCUGCGAUAAGCGUCGGUGAGGUGAUAUGAACCGUUAUAACCGGCGAUUUCCGAAUGGGGAAACCCAGUGUGUUUCGACACACUAUCAUUAACUGAAUCCAUAGGUUAAUGAGGCGAACCGGGGGAACUGAAACAUCUAAGUACCCCGAGGAAAAGAAAUCAACCGAGAUUCCCCCAGUAGCGGCGAGCGAACGGGGAGGAGCCCAGAGCCUGAAUCAGUGUGUGUGUUAGUGGAAGCGUCUGGAAAGGCGCGCGAUACAGGGUGACAGCCCCGUACACAAAAAUGCACAUAUUGUGAGCUCGAUGAGUAGGGCGGGACACGUGGUAUCCUGUCUGAAUAUGGGGGGACCAUCCUCCAAGGCUAAAUACUCCUGACUGACCGAUAGUGAACCAGUACCGUGAGGGAAAGGCGAAAAGAACCCCGGCGAGGGGAGUGAAAAAGAACCUGAAACCGUGUACGUACAAGCAGUGGGAGCCUCUUAAUGGGGUGACUGCGUACCUUUUGUAUAAUGGGUCAGCGACUUAUAUUCUGUAGCAAGGUUAACCGAAUAGGGGAGCCGAAGGGAAACCGAGUCUUAACUGGGCGUUAAGUUGCAGGGUAUAGACCCGAAACCCGGUGAUCUAGCCAUGGGCAGGUUGAAGGUUGGGUAACACUAACUGGAGGACCGAACCGACUAAUGUUGAAAAAUUAGCGGAUGACUUGUGGCUGGGGGUGAAAGGCCAAUCAAACCGGGAGAUAGCUGGUUCUCCCCGAAAGCUAUUUAGGUAGCGCCUCGUGAAUUCAUCUCCGGGGGUAGAGCACUGUUUCGGCAAGGGGGUCAUCCCGACUUACCAACCCGAUGCAAACUGCGAAUACCGGAGAAUGUUAUCACGGGAGACACACGGCGGGUGCUAACGUCCGUCGUGAAGAGGGAAACAACCCAGACCGCCAGCUAAGGUCCCAAAGUCAUGGUUAAGUGGGAAACGAUGUGGGAAGGCCCAGACAGCCAGGAUGUUGGCUUAGAAGCAGCCAUCAUUUAAAGAAAGCGUAAUAGCUCACUGGUCGAGUCGGCCUGCGCGGAAGAUGUAACGGGGCUAAACCAUGCACCGAAGCUGCGGCAGCGACACUAUGUGUUGUUGGGUAGGGGAGCGUUCUGUAAGCCUGUGAAGGUGUACUGUGAGGUAUGCUGGAGGUAUCAGAAGUGCGAAUGCUGACAUAAGUAACGAUAAAGCGGGUGAAAAGCCCGCUCGCCGGAAGACCAAGGGUUCCUGUCCAACGUUAAUCGGGGCAGGGUGAGUCGACCCCUAAGGCGAGGCCGAAAGGCGUAGUCGAUGGGAAACAGGUUAAUAUUCCUGUACUUGGUGUUACUGCGAAGGGGGGACGGAGAAGGCUAUGUUGGCCGGGCGACGGUUGUCCCGGUUUAAGCGUGUAGGCUGGUUUUCCAGGCAAAUCCGGAAAACCAAGGCUGAGGCGUGAUGACGAGGCACUACGGUGCUGAAGCGACAAAUGCCCUGCUUCCAGGAAAAGCCUCUAAGCAUCAGGUAACAUUAAAUCGUACCCCAAACCGACACAGGUGGUCAGGUAGAGAAUACCAAGGCGCUUGAGAGAACUCGGGUGAAGGAACUAGGCAAAAUGGUGCCGUAACUUCGGGAGAAGGCACGCUGAUAUGUAGGUGAAGCGACUUGCUCGUGGAGCUGAAAUCAGUCGAAGAUACCAGCUGGCUGCAACUGUUUAUUAAAAACACAGCACUGUGCAAACACGAAAGUGGACGUAUACGGUGUGACGCCUGCCCGGUGCCGGAAGGUUAAUUGAUGGGGUUAGCGGUAACGCGAAGCUCUUGAUCGAAGCCCCGGUAAACGGCGGCCGUAACUAUAACGGUCCUAAGGUAGCGAAAUUCCUUGUCGGGUAAGUUCCGACCUGCACGAAUGGCGUAAUGAUGGCCAGGCUGUCUCCACCCGAGACUCAGUGAAAUUGAACUCGCUGUGAAGAUGCAGUGUACCCGCGGCAAGACGGAAAGACCCCGUGAACCUUUACUAUAGCUUGACACUGAACAUUGAGCCUUGAUGUGUAGGAUAGGUGGGAGGCUUUGAAGUGUGGACGCCAGUCUGCAUGGAGCCGACCUUGAAAUACCACCCUUUAAUGUUUGAUGUUCUAACGUGGGCCCCUUACCGGGGUUGCGGACAGUGUCUGGUGGGUAGUUUGACUGGGGCGGUCUCCUCCUAAAGAGUAACGGAGGAGCACGAAGGUUGGCUAAUCCUGGUCGGACAUCAGGAGGUUAGUGCAAUGGCAUAAGCCAGCUUGACUGCGAGCGUGACGGCGCGAGCAGGUGCGAAAGCAGGUCAUAGUGAUCCGGUGGUUCUGAAUGGAAGGGCCAUCGCUCAACGGAUAAAAGGUACUCCGGGGAUAACAGGCUGAUACCGCCCAAGAGUUCAUAUCGACGGCGGUGUUUGGCACCUCGAUGUCGGCUCAUCACAUCCUGGGGCUGAAGUAGGUCCCAAGGGUAUGGCUGUUCGCCAUUUAAAGUGGUACGCGAGCUGGGUUUAGAACGUCGUGAGACAGUUCGGUCCCUAUCUGCCGUGGGCGCUGGAGAACUGAGGGGGGCUGCUCCUAGUACGAGAGGACCGGAGUGGACGCAUCACUGGUGUUCGGGUUGUCAUGCCAAUGGCACUGCCCGGUAGCUAAAUGCGGAAGAGAUAAGUGCUGAAAGCAUCUAAGCACGAAACUUGCCCCGAGAUGAGUUCUCCCUGACUCCUUGAGAGUCCUGAAGGAACGUUGAAGACGACGACGUUGAUAGGCCGGGUGUGUAAGCGCAGCGAUGCGUUGAGCUAACCGGUACUAAUGAACCGUGAGGCUUAACCUUACAACGCCGAAG
This 2925-nucleotide ribosomal RNA is filed under the name Escherichia coli. Its description in RNAcentral is "bacterial LSU rRNA". It matches the Rfam family "Bacterial large subunit ribosomal RNA". The record is from RNAcentral. Lineage: Bacteria; Pseudomonadati; Pseudomonadota; Gammaproteobacteria; Enterobacterales; Enterobacteriaceae.